This 890-nucleotide ribosomal RNA is filed under the name Alteromonas sp. DEM29a. RNAcentral describes it as "bacterial SSU rRNA". It matches the Rfam family "Bacterial small subunit ribosomal RNA", at positions 100 to 990 of the family's 1533-position model. The record is from RNAcentral. Lineage: Bacteria; Pseudomonadati; Pseudomonadota; Gammaproteobacteria; Alteromonadales; Alteromonadaceae.
GGACGGGUGAGUAAUGCUUGGGAACUUGCCUUUGCGAGGGGGAUAACAGUUGGAAACGACUGCUAAUACCGCAUAAUGUCUUCGGACCAAACGGGGCUUAGGCUCCGGCGCAGAGAGAGGCCCAAGUGAGAUUAGCUAGUUGGUAAGGUAAAGGCUUACCAAGGCGACGAUCUCUAGCUGUUCUGAGAGGAAGAUCAGCCACACUGGGACUGAGACACGGCCCAGACUCCUACGGGAGGCAGCAGUGGGGAAUAUUGCACAAUGGGGGAAACCCUGAUGCAGCCAUGCCGCGUGUGUGAAGAAGGCCUUCGGGUUGUAAAGCACUUUCAGUUGUGAGGAAAAGUUAGUAGUUAAUACCUGCUAGCCGUGACGUUAACAACAGAAGAAGCACCGGCUAACUCCGUGCCAGCAGCCGCGGUAAUACGGAGGGUGCGAGCGUUAAUCGGAAUUACUGGGCGUAAAGCGCACGCAGGCGGUUUGUUAAGCUAGAUGUGAAAGCCCCGGGCUCAACCUGGGAUGGUCAUUUAGAACUGGCAGACUAGAGUCUUGGAGAGGGGAGUGGAAUUCCAGGUGUAGCGGUGAAAUGCGUAGAUAUCUGGAGGAACAUCAGUGGCGAAGGCGACUCCCUGGCCAAAGACUGACGCUCAUGUGCGAAAGUGUGGGUAGCGAACAGGAUUAGAUACCCUGGUAGUCCACACCGUAAACGCUGUCUACUAGCUGUGUGUGAUUUUAAAUCGUGAGUAGCGAAGCUAACGCGCUAAGUAGACCGCCUGGGGAGUACGGCCGCAAGGUUAAAACUCAAAUGAAUUGACGGGGGCCCGCACAAGCGGUGGAGCAUGUGGGUUUAAUUCGAUGCAACGCGAAGAAACCUUACCUACACUUGACAUGCA